Molecule: long non-coding RNA, 1631 nt
Organism: Salvia splendens (bonfire salvia)
Lineage: Eukaryota; Viridiplantae; Streptophyta; Magnoliopsida; Lamiales; Lamiaceae
Exons: 2
Source: RefSeq, a predicted model, not a curated record
UCCAUCGGCUUUUCCCCAUUCUUAAUUUUCCCCUUUCUCCAAAAAUAAAACCCAAACUGAGAAAGCCCUAGAUUCUCCAACUCUUCCCCUCCCCUCGCCGGCAUCGCAGCGUCUCCGGUUCGAAAUCCCGGCAAGUGACAAGCCGCCGCCGCCACCGACGACUCCAGUGGGUGGAAACAGCCUAGCGAGCGCCGUCGAUGGACUGGUGGAGUCAGCACGGCACCGCGGCCGUCGCUGCUGUCUUGGUGACCUCGUCGCAGGACUCCCUCUGCCGGCACCCUUCGCCGCUGCCCUCCCCCUUCGCGAGGCAGUCUCGACACUCCCCGGCGCUUGCACAGCAGCUGCUGGAGUCAGCGGUGCUCGCCGUCGCUCCGCGAGGCUUCCGCCGUCGUCGCUGAUCCGCUGUUGGUCCGAGACUCACGCCGCCACUGCCGAUCUCCUUCGGCGGCGAGCCGUCGCGUGUCACGGUUGCCUUGCGGUCGACUCUCGGCUUCACCGUCUGGUCGCCGCCAACUCCGACAGAAACUCCCAAAGCUAAGCCUCCUAUAUUAGCUACUUAGGUGGUUUCUUUAAGUAUGGUCUGUUCUUGUUUUGCUUAUUCUUUGAUUUGGGCAGAUUGUGUUCGUUUGUCACAGAAACUGCAGUAGCUCGUCUAGAACGUUUUAGAUUUGUAUGAUUUUCUUUUUCUGGUGUCCAUUUGUGCAAAAGAUUGAGGGAAAAAAAAGGUUUAAGUUGUCUUAGCCACUGAUUUUGAACUAAGAGCGGCUUAUGCUUCUGGAUUUCUUAACAAGAUGUUGUUCUUCCAUUUCUAGCAUAGCUCUAAUGGUGCACAAACUGUAUUGUGAAGCAUUCAACACUAUUAUGCUAUGUUUUCCUAACACAUGAAUACUACAUGAUGAGUCUACUGUCAUUGCUUGAGCUUGAGAAAGAAAACGAGAUCUUACCUCACUCACUUGGCCCAAACUUCAGUUCUUCUCACUGCCUCAGUUCUUCUCACUGCCUCAGUCCUUCUUCCCUCCCUUUAGCUUACUUCUUUGCUACUGAGUGAGAGGUGUUGUGGUGUGGUAUAAUAACCGAGGGGUAGCAUGUGUAUAUAAACACAUAUCUUGUAACUGAAAGCUGCAGAGGCUGAGUGUUGGCUGACUUUGCAGCAUCCUUUAACUGUUUUGGUGGUUUGUGCUGCCUUGUACUCGGAUUCAUUUAUGUAUUUUGUCCCUUUUGCAGGUGCACACUAGAGCAAGCAUUUGGGGCUGAUUUCCGGACUAUAGUAGGUCCGGGUGGGGAAGGUAAGGGCUGUUAUCUGCAGCUUUGCAGAGUCUUAGCUGGAGAGGAGCCUGCUGGCUGGAGUUGCCUCUUUCGGUCAAACUCUCACCCCCAUCUCUGAAAGGAGCUGCGGCUGGCCAACGAGGCUGUCUUCCCUCGUGGUCUCGCCCUCCCAGCUCGUUUAAAAUCUGGGGCCAAGACUUGCCCGGUGACGAAGACCAAUGAAGUCGUUAGGGACUUCUAAAUGUAAUAGUGUAGUAGCUCGACUUUUAAUUCUGUCGUCAAAGAUUGUAACUUUAGUUUGAGAUUCUGAAAACUGUAAUUUGUACCUUUUCUCAAGAAAUAAAAAUACUCUUUCAUUCGUUAAA